RNAcentral lists this ribosomal RNA (772 nucleotides) under uncultured bacterium. Its description in RNAcentral is "bacterial SSU rRNA". It matches the Rfam family "Bacterial small subunit ribosomal RNA", at positions 575 to 1347 of the family's 1533-position model. The record is from RNAcentral.
GCGGUUUGUCACGUCGUCUGUGAAAUCCCUCGGCUUAACCGGGGGCGUGCAGGCGAUACGGGCAGACUUGAGUACUACAGGGGAGACUGGAAUUCCUGGUGUAGCGGUGAAAUGCGCAGAUAUCAGGAGGAACACCGGUGGCGAAGGCGGGUCUCUGGGUAGUAACUGACGCUGAGGAGCGAAAGCAUGGGUAGCGAACAGGAUUAGAUACCCUGGUAGUCCAUGCCGUAAACGGUGGGCGCUAGGUGUGGGGUCCUUCCACGGACUCCGUGCCGUAGCUAACGCAUUAAGCGCCCCGCCUGGGGAGUACGGCCGCAAGGCUAAAACUCAAAGGAAUCGACGGGGGCCCGCACAAGCGGCGGAGCAUGUGGAUUAAUUCGAUGCAACGCGAAGAACCUUACCUAGGCUUGACAUAUACAGGACGACGGCAGAGAUGUCGUUUCCCUUGUGGCUUGUAUACAGGUGGUGCAUGGUUGUCGUCAGCUCGUGUCGUGAGAUGUUGGGUUAAGUCCCGCAACGAGCGCAACCCCUGUCUCAUGUUGCCAGCACGUAAUGGUGGGGACUCGUGAGAGACUGCCGGGGUCAACUCGGAGGAAGGUGGGGAUGACGUCAAAUCAUCAUGCCCCUUAUGUCUAGGGCUUCACACAUGCUACAAUGGCUAGUACAGAGGGCUGCGAUACCGCGAGGUGGAGCGAAUCCCUUAAAGCUGGUCUCAGUUCGGAUUGGGGUCUGCAACUCGACCCCAUGAAGUCGGAGUCGCUAGUAAUCGCAG